RNAcentral lists this ribosomal RNA (497 nucleotides) under uncultured bacterium. Its description in RNAcentral is "partial 16S ribosomal RNA". It matches the Rfam family "Bacterial small subunit ribosomal RNA", at positions 28 to 507 of the family's 1533-position model. The record is from RNAcentral.
GAUGAACGCUGGCGGCGUGCCUAAUACAUGCAAGUCGAGCGAACAGAUGAGGAGCUUGCUCCUCUGACGUUAGCGGCGGACGGGUGAGUAACACGUGGAUAACCUACCUUUAAGACUGGGAUAACUUCGGGAAACCGGAGCUAAUACCGGAUAAUAUAUUGAACCGCAUGGUUCAAUAGUGAAAGACGGUUUUGCUGUCACUUAUAGAUGGAUCCGCGCCGCAUUAGCUAGUUGGUAAGGUAACGGCUUACCAAGGCGACGAUGCGUAGCCGACCUGAGAGGGUGAUCGGCCACACUGGAACUGAGACACGGUCCAGACUCCUACGGGAGGCAGCAGUAGGGAAUCUUCCGCAAUGGGCGAAAGCCUGACGGAGCAACGCCGCGUGAGUGAUGAAGGUCUUCGGAUCGUAAAACUCUGUUAUUAGGGAAGAACAAAUGUGUAAGUAACUAUGCACGUCUUGACGGUACCUAAUCAGAAAGCCACGGCUAACUACGUG